AACGAACGCUGGCGGCAGGCUUAACACAUGCAAGUCGAACGAGAUCUUCGGAUCUAGUGGCAGACGGGUGAGGAACACGUGGGAACAUCCCUUUCAGUUCGGAAUAACGUUGGGAAACUAACGCUAAUACCGGAUACGUCCUUCGGGGGAAAGAUUUAUCGCUGAAAGAUUGGCCCGCGUGUGAUUAGCUAGUUGGUGAGGUAACGGCUCACCAAGGCUACGAUCAGUAGCUGAUCUGAGAGGAUGAUCAGCCAAAUUGGGACUGAGACACGGCCCAAACUCCUACGGGAGGCAGCAGUGGGGAAUAUUGGACAAUGGGCGCAAGCCUGAUCCAGCCAUGCCGCGUGAGUGAUGACGGCCUUCGGGUUGUAAAGCUCUUUUGUCCGGGAAGAUAAUGACUGUACCGGAAGAGUAAGCCCCGGCAAACUUCGUGCCAGCAGCCGCCGUAA
This 449-nucleotide ribosomal RNA is filed under the name uncultured bacterium. RNAcentral describes it as "partial 16S ribosomal RNA". It matches the Rfam family "Bacterial small subunit ribosomal RNA", at positions 29 to 523 of the family's 1533-position model. The record is from RNAcentral.